Molecule: ribosomal RNA, 440 nt
Filed under: uncultured bacterium
Lineage: Bacteria
Description: partial 16S ribosomal RNA
Rfam family: Bacterial small subunit ribosomal RNA
Source: RNAcentral
CCUACGGGAGGCAGCAGUGGGGGAUCUUCCACAAUGGGGGAAACCCUGAUGCAGCGACGCCGCGUGAGUGAAGAAGGAUUUCGGUAUGUAAAGCUCUAUCAGCAGGGAAGAACAUGACAGUAACUGACCAAGUCGCCCCGGCUAAAUACGUUCCAACAGCCGAGGUCAUACGUAGGGGGCAGGCGCUAGCCGGAUUUACUGGGGGGAAAGGGAGCGUAGACGGUUAUGUAAGUAUGGAGGGAAAGGCCGGGGCCGAAACCCGAGACUGCUUUGGAAACUGUGUAACUGGAGUGCAGGAGGGGCGAGUGGAAUUCCAGGUGUAGCGGUGAAAUGCGUAGAUAUCAGGAGGAACACCGGUGGUGAAGGCGGCCUGCUGGACUGAAACUGACGCUGAGGCUCGAAAGCGUGGGGAGCAAACAGGAUUAGAUACCCCAGUAGUC